RNAcentral lists this ribosomal RNA (393 nucleotides) under uncultured bacterium. RNAcentral describes it as "bacterial SSU rRNA". It matches the Rfam family "Bacterial small subunit ribosomal RNA", at positions 28 to 422 of the family's 1533-position model. The record is from RNAcentral.
GACGAACGCUGGCGGCGUGCUUAACACAUGCAAGUCGAGCGGUAAGGCCCUUUCGGGGGUACACGAGCGGCGAACGGGUGAGUAACACGUGGGUGACCUGCCCUCAGCUCUGGGAUAAGCCUGGGAAACCGGGUCUAAUACUGGAUAUGACUCCAUGACGCAUGUUGUGGGGUGGAAAGCCUUGUGCGGCUGAGGAUGGGCCCGCGGCCUAUCAGCUUGUUGGUGGGGUGAUGGCCUACCAAGGCGACGACGGGUAGCCGGCCUGAGAGGGCGACCGGCCACACUGGGACUGAGACACGGCCCAGACUCCUACGGGAGGCAGCAGUGGGGAAUCUUGCGCAAUGGGCGAAAGCCUGACGCAGCGACGCCGCGUGAGGGAUGACGGCCUGGUGU